GUGUCAGCAGCCGCGGUAAUACAGAGACUGCAAGCGUUAUUCGGAUUCACUGGGCGUAAAGGGUGCGCAGGUGGCCAGGUGUGUGAGGCGUGAAAGCCCGGGGCUUAACCCCGGAAUUGCACCUCAAACUACUUGGCUAGAGCAUUGGAGAGGGGAGCAGAAUUCACGGUGUAGCAGUGAAAUGCGUAGAUAUCGUGAGGAAUACCAGAGGCGAAGGCGGCUCCCUGGACAAUUGCUGACACUCAGGCACGAAAGCGUGGGGAGCAAAAGGGAUUAGAAACCCCUGUAGUCC
RNAcentral lists this ribosomal RNA (292 nucleotides) under uncultured bacterium. RNAcentral's name for it is "partial 16S ribosomal RNA". It matches the Rfam family "Bacterial small subunit ribosomal RNA", at positions 505 to 796 of the family's 1533-position model. The record is from RNAcentral.